This 372-nucleotide ribosomal RNA is filed under the name uncultured organism. RNAcentral's name for it is "partial 16S ribosomal RNA". It matches the Rfam family "Bacterial small subunit ribosomal RNA", at positions 528 to 896 of the family's 1533-position model. The record is from RNAcentral.
GAGGGUGCGAGCGUUAAUCGGAAUUACUGGGCGUAAAGAGUGCGCAGGUUGUAUGAUAAGUCUGAUGUGAAAUGCUAGGGCUCAACCUUAGUUUUGCGUUAGAAACUGUCAAGCUAGAGUAUAGUAGAGGAUGGAGGAAUUUCCGGUGUAGCGGUGAAAUGCGUAGAUAUCGGAAGGAACACCAGUGGCGAAGGCGUCCAUCUAGACUGAUACUGACACUGAGGCACGAAAGCGUGGGGGUAGCGAACAGGAUUAGAUACCCUGGUAGUCCACGCUGUAAACGAUGAGGACUAGCUGUUAGGAGCGUAAGAGCUUUUAGUGGCGCAGCAAACGCGAUAAGUUCUCCGCCUGGGGAGUACGGCCGCAAGGUUA